This 428-nucleotide ribosomal RNA is filed under the name uncultured bacterium. RNAcentral describes it as "bacterial SSU rRNA". It matches the Rfam family "Bacterial small subunit ribosomal RNA", at positions 354 to 796 of the family's 1533-position model. The record is from RNAcentral.
GUGGGGAAUAUUGCACAAUGGGGGAAACCCUGAUGCAGCAACGCCGCGUGAAGGAAGACGGUUUUCGGAUUGUAAACUUCUAUCAACGGGGAAGAAAAAAAUGACGGUACCCGAAUAAGAAGCCCCGGCUAACUACGUGCCAGCAGCCGCGGUAAUACGUAGGGGGCAAGCGUUAUCCGGAAUCACUGGGUGUAAAGGGUGCGUAGGCGGUUAUGCAAGUCAGAUGUGAAAUACCGAGGCUCAACUUCGGAACUGCAUUUGAAACUGUGUGACUAGAGUACAGGAGAGGUAAGUGGAAUUCCUAGUGUAGCGGUGAAAUGCGUAGAUAUUAGGAAGAACACCAGUGGCGAAGGCGACUUACUGGACUGAAACUGACGCUGAGGCACGAAAGCGUGGGGAGCAAACAGGAUUAGAAACCCUAGUAGUCC